This 332-nucleotide long non-coding RNA is filed under the name Elaeis guineensis (African oil palm). Its description in RNAcentral is "long non-coding RNA (EGUI_LNC051289)". The record is from RNAcentral. Lineage: Eukaryota; Viridiplantae; Streptophyta; Magnoliopsida; Arecales; Arecaceae.
UUCUUUCUCUGACCGUUUGAGACAGCUGCAUUCCUCGCUUAGUCUGGGACUCAGCAAUGUGUUCUCUGACUAUUUUUUUGCUCUAUUUUGUUUGCAUCGAGAAUGGUUCGCUGCAGCGAUAUCGAGAUGAAGCUGUUAUUCUUCAUCGUCGGUGCAAGUGGAAUUUAUUUGCGGACCAGUACAUUGUUAUAUCCUCGAUGGAUUUGGAUGCAUUUUUCAAGCUGCUAGCUGUUUGACAAACAAAACAGAACAGCUAGAACGGGGGAGUUGGUAAUUGGUUCUGGUUCUUUUGAUGUGGAAACUUGUCUUUGUGGCACGUAGAUGAUGGGAGG